AGUUACCACCCUGAGCCUUCCAGCUCGGCCGCCUCCUCGGCCUGAAGACUCCCCGCCUCCUCCCGCCCCCUCCCCUUUUCCCAAAGAUCAGCGUUUUCUGGGAGAAACGCUCCGGAGUUGUUGAUGAAUGAGAAGAGGACUGGAAAGAUGGAUAGGAGAAAGCACCGCGGAUCUCCCUCUCACCCCAGGCUCGGGGCGCAGAAGAUGGAGAGAAGAUUCCACUCUCCCCGGAGCAGAUAGGGACGGUCGCGCCAGCCAAUCAGAGCGCGGCUCGGCGCCGGCGCUCCCGGCCGCCUGGGCCGCCGUGUCCUCCAGGCAAGCGAAGUUCCCGCAACUCGUCCGCCUCGAGGGUCCGCGUCUUUCUUGCGCCCGCGGCCCAGCGGAGGCCGAGGGAGCCGUCCAAACUUUAUUAAUCUCUCCUCCUUUCUUUCUCCCUCAGCCCAGUGCAUCUCAAAGCGCUGGAAUCUGUGGAGCAGGAAGCCUGGCAAUUCCAAGAUACGCGAUGAUCUUCAAACAUUCCCGGGAGCCAGUCCUGAGGCUCUGGCUUCAGGGCCUAGUUUCCAUUUAUGCCGCGUUUUUGAGAGUCUAAUACUGUGUCUGGCACAUGGUCCACGCAGGAUGGUCGCUUCCCCCUUGCUGAGAGUUUUGCCUUCAGCCUAUCUGGGCCGCUGGAAAAGAGGAGAAGAAUAAACAAGAGACAAGCAACUACUCCCCUACCGGCGUUCCGUCCUUGUCCUCACUGCCAAAUCCACUCCAAAGCCGAGGAUGGUGAGACUGUGAAGUUGCAAAGAAACACAGAGCCCACCCCCUUAAAGAAUUACGAUAUAUUUAAAGUUUGCCUCUUUCAGGUUUCUCUCCUUGGCUCCUGCCCCUUUCCCCUCCCGGCUCCUUGUCCUUGACUGAACCUCAUGGGACAGAGAACCUCCUGUCCCCCACGAGGCAAGGCGCGAACCCGCAGAGAUCUGGGGUGCCCUUUGGUUCCCUGCGCUGCCCUGGAGGCGUCCAUAGAGGCCUUUGCCGCCAAGGACAGCAAUUGUUUUAUUUUCGAUGGUUGCUCGCCAGGCCUGCGGGUCGCGGGCCCACCCAGCCGUCGAACUUUCCAGUCGUUAUCAGCGCUGCUCCUAACUUAAUGGAAUAAUGCAAAUUAUAGCCUGCCCAGCUGACACGUCCCUGCGAAUGCGCCGGGGCUGAGCUCUGGCCAGCCGCUCUCUCGACGUCCUGGACGGCCGGAGGGAAUGAAGCUCUGAAUUGUGACAAAAGUGGGGGGGGGGCACCCCAAAUUCUCAAAGCAAUGUUCUUUUUUUUUUCUUUUUUCUUAAGCAAUUGAGCCUUACCAAAUGUCGGGGCCGCACGGAAGCCUUGCAUAUUUUAAAGUGUAACCUGAGCCUUCGCGGUUUCAGCUUCACUUAAAACAUGCAAAUUCUUGAAAUUGAAAAAUCUGAAAAACUUCCGAAGAGUUCUAUCUGAAUAAAUCCAAAUCCAUUGGGAGUCGCUUUGAGGAGACAAAACGCACAGCGAUUUGGGGUGAGGGAUAUUUGUGGGGAGGCAGGACGUGCUGGAUUGGGUUUCCAGGGUCAAGGUGUCUCUGGGCCUUCGACGAUAGCCUUAGCGCAGAGCAGGGAAGUGGCACCGCUAGGCAGCAAGCUCAGUUGCUCUACUUUUGUGACCCAUCCCCCCACCCCCCCCACCGCCACCCUUGCCUCCGGGCCACUGCCCCUCUCUGCAAGCUUUGUCCGCUGGACUCCGUUGCCCUUGCGCGGCCGCCCCAUCACUCACGCUUGACUGGAGGAAAUAAAAUUGGCGUUGGCUUUUUAA
This 1815-nucleotide long non-coding RNA is filed under the name Homo sapiens (human). RNAcentral's name for it is "long independently transcribed non-coding RNA 391, transcript variant 3 (LINC00391)". The record is from RNAcentral. Lineage: Eukaryota; Metazoa; Chordata; Mammalia; Primates; Hominidae.